RNAcentral lists this long non-coding RNA (16149 nucleotides) under Sorghum bicolor (sorghum). Its description in RNAcentral is "long non-coding RNA (SBIC_LNC003866)". Lineage: Eukaryota; Viridiplantae; Streptophyta; Magnoliopsida; Poales; Poaceae. The record is from RNAcentral.
AGCCCAUGACUGACAAGUGACAAGCAUAUAUCCUUACCACAUGUCUGCAUCUGGGGGCAGAAAAACUCAAAAUCUUAUUAAAAGAACUGACCCAUUUGUGCUCUCUCUACUACGUGUGAACUAAUCAUGCUGAGCAUUUGUGGUUAGCAGCCCAACAGUCUUUUAUUUUUAGUUGGGGAAUGAGAAACCAAGGAUGACAAAUCGGUGCCCUUACCUAACCUUUUUCUGUGUGUUGUUCAUCAGAAAGGGUAAAAAAUACAUAUCUUCAGAAACUAAGGUUAAUGCUUUUCAUCUUUUUAUUAGAAGCUUGUCCACAGAAUUCAGCUCAGAAAAAGACAGCAGGCCGACUGAAGGAGAAGCCAAGCCGUGACGAUGACAGGAAACCACUGAUUUGCUGCACCACCACGCCACUCCGUCCCUGUGUUUUCAUAAAUCCACAGCGGUUGAUCUGAAACGCGACGAGCCGCGCAGCUACUGAUGAUGAUCGGAAGAAUCCACGGCGGAUUGACGGAAGCACGACGGCGGUGAUCGAUCGGCGGCAACCAUGUGUUCCGCGCGGUUGGUGCGCGGCCGGCAUGGCGCCAAUUCAAGCCGCCAAAGGCAUUUGACAAGAUCACCUCGACACCUGUCAAGUCUUGGCGAAGUGCGUGCGUGCGUGCGACUACGCAAGGGCAAGGCUAGCUAUCGCUGGAGGAGGUGGAGCCAGCCCCCGGAUGGGAUGGGAGUUGGGAGCUUUUGCACUAGAGUAGUUUAUAGACGUGAUGUGAUUCUUCCCGUAAUCAGGAUCCCCAACAACCGAAGAGGAAGCAAAGAGGCAGCUGGGACUGGGAGCGUCGUCGUCACCGGUGGCCGCGUGAGCCGUAAUGCCGUAUCGCCGUGCGUGCAUCCCAUGGAUGGCAAUGGCAAUAUUCAAUGGGCGCGAGGACAUGGGCUGGCAGGACAUGCAUGCGCACUGAUCCGUGGGUGUGUUCAUUUGGUCGUCAUAAAGAAUACCGCGUCCAUUACAACUCUACUAGCGAAAUUCAAGUCCAAGUUAUCUUGAGUUCGACUAUAUUUACUUUAUAUACUAAAAAGUAUCAAUGUUUAUUAUAUUAUAUUUAUAAUAAAAUAUAUUUUACUGUAUCAGUAAUAUCUAUAUCUAUAUCUAUUAUAGUCCUAAAUCUCAUUAGCCAUCAUAUCUCGACAUGCAAGCAUUCCAACUCAACAAUUUACUAUCACAUGCAUUUAAUUGUUAUCGUUAGUAUGCCAUGCCAUCCAUGACCAUGAACUUACAAUAUUUUAUUCCAUCAUAUAAGUAAUUUACUCUAGUUUUGUUCUAAUUCAUUGACAGUUUCUACAACAACACACAGGGUAUGCUUGUAGUUUAUCUAAUGAUAGAACUAGAAUUAUAUUAUUUUCAAGAUGGAGGCAGUAAGAGUUUACUUCAAGAUAUGCUCGUCUACUUCUUGAGUUACACACGCGAUCUAAGAUUUGCUCACCGUGCUUUGUACCGCCGAUGGUGUCAUCCGCCCCCACGCCGAUGUGGAGAAAGAGAGAGAACAGAGAAAAGAAACAUACGAGAGAGAAAUAAAACAGCAUGUUUAUUCAAGUUUAUCUGUCGAAUCUGUAAAUCAUUCAGUAGUGUUUUUUUAUCACAAUAAAUCACCGAACAAUAUUUUCAGCCAUGACUUUUCAGCCAAGCGAACAUGUUUAAAUAUGUGGGCUUCAUUGCCAUGUGUUGUUCAUGUCAAAGAUAUCAUCCUUUAAAACAGCUAGAUGGCUAAAUCCAAACAAUUUUGGUAGUUGGAUUUCGUCAAAGAUUUCUGAUUCUUAAGUUAGUAUAUGGCACAAAACCCUAACAAUAGUUGUAUGUGAGAGUGAGACAUUUUUUUUAAAAAAAAUGCGUAAACUAAAGAUGGUGUGACAACUGACAAAACAUUAUAUCUAGAAUUAUAAUCUUUUUUGAAUCGACGGAGCACAUCCCAUGAUCUAUUGUUUUUUUUUCGAAGAAAAAAAAGAGAGAUAUGGAUAGCUGUGUCGUGAUCCGUAUGCCACGACUGCCAACAAACACCCCGGAUAUGUCGUCCCAAUCAAUAAUUCAAUAUCCAGCAGAUACCUCCCGUAGUCCCGUUCCACUCUUUUUCUAUAUGAUGAAUUGAAGCAAGCGCGAGUCAUGCCCAUGAUGCAUGUUUGUUGCGGAUGAGCCCUGGCCUGGUCAAACCAAGCACGUUGUUCACUUGUUCUCUGCUCUGACUGAACCCGUGGAGUCAAAUCAACUAUAGCUCGGCACGGCAUGGGUUUUGUUUGACUCUGAUAUGGCUUGCCUUUGAGGCCUUGUUUCCAAUUUUUUUCAAAAUUCUUCGUUACAUCAGAUUUUAAGGCAUAUAUAUGAAGUGUUAAAUAUAAAUAAAAAUAAAAAUUAAUUAUAUAGUUUAUCUUUUGACCAUAAUUAGUUUAUGAUUAGACAAAAUUUGCCAUAAACAAACGAAAAUACUACAGUAGCGAAAUCCAAAAAAUUUCGCGAACUAAACCAGACCUGAGCUUCAAUAUCAGACUCACUCGACAACCGCCCGGUCAAUUUAUAGUUACCACUAUAUAUUAUUACCAGCAAUGGCCACGGCCGACGGCGCGUCUUUGUUCCUGCUGUUCUUUGCUGGAGCAGGAAUUCAAUCCAGCGCCGCCAGAGUUUUCUACUCCGUCGACUUGCCGGCGCCGCCGGCAGAUGAUGAGGUCCGUGGACACGGCCACCGGCGCACGCCGCGCACGUCGUCAGUGACCUGAGACCUGGAUCUGCCCGUUGUGGCAAGGACGGGACAGGCAGUGAGGAUACCCGGUGCUAGCUCGCGGCCAUUUCAAUGGCAGCAAGGACUUGGGAUCUGCGCCUGCACUGGCGUUCGUUAGUCGUUACGCAUUCACCCAACUCGAGGCAGCUCCGAGUUUGAGCCAUCAAAAAUCAAGCUGCCCCACAGCAAAGAAAAGGCACAGCGACAGGGCAGAGCGGCUGUCCCUGACUCCUUGUCCGUAUCGAGGCUGGGCAACGGACGUCUGGCGUUUUCUUCCUUUCAUCAAGAUGCCAGCGUGCAUUUCUCAGACCAGACCAGAGCACAGCUUGGAAUUUCCUGUGCCUUUGAUGACUCCUGGCUGCUGUUAAGUGUUAACAAAACAACCAAACAUGCCGCUCGCAUUUUGACUUGUAGUAUAUAAUUUACAUUCCUUCAGUCUUUAAUAACACCCUUCAAUCCCUCUUCAGUCUCCACUAGAAUAAUGAACAAGGCCUUACAUAUACUCCGUAGGUAGAACAAGGCCCUACAUAGGCACAAAGCAAGCGAACAAGUAAAGUAAAUUUUACUUCAAACCUCCUACCUUCAGCUACAUGCACAAAUGGAUGCUCUAUUUACUUUUUCUAGUUUUCUCAGGAAUAAUUCAGCAGGUGCUCUUGUGGGCAACUAGUUACUGGAGCUCUUUGGCAGGGCUCCUGUAUGGGCUUCAGCUCUGGCUUGUAGCCUCGUACAGGAGCUGUGCCAAACGCCUGUUUUGGAAAGAGCUUUGCAUGGGGAGCUAGUCAAGAGCCAGAGCCAUUUUUUGCCUACGCAAGAAAAGUCUCAAAAACGAGUUUCGCGUGGCUUCUUGCUAGGUUCGCAUCAUCUAGUUCCGAAUGAGCCAUUUUGUCAAACAUUUUUCACAACGGCUUUAGCUUCUCCAGAGGAGCUGCUUCUUCAGAAGAGCUAGAGCCGAAGCCAUUUCUGGAGGAGCCAGAGCCCUACCAAACAGCUAAGUCAAAAACGGCGGUGUGGUAUACUCCUUCAAGUUUUUUUCUUCUUUCUAAACAAAGAAUAAUUCACUGAACAUGCAAAUGGCAGCGACCUUUUUUUGCCCCCAUGGUACAAGGGGUUAAGGCUUCCUCCGGCGGUGUUUGCUCUUUUUUUUGUUGGUGUCCAGACAAUACGCACUUUUGUCAUUAUUUGACUAUAGAAAAAAUAUAUAAAUUAUCUGUUCUUUAAUUGUACCAAUUGAUUGUACAGAGAUUGCUACCUACAAAUUCAAGCACAUGGAAUAUUUUUAGCAACAAUAAAGAACAUAGUAUAACUAGUAGCUAGAUAUCUAAUAAUCCACGAAAGAAUGUAGUUUUAGUUGCAUUCUUUGUUAAGGCGUCUAAAUAUUGACCAAAUAUAUAUACAUAUAUAGAUAUAAAUAUUAAUGCUCAUGACCCCAAAUAAUAUAGUAUAAAAAAUAUCUCACGAUAAAUAUAAUAACACUUAUUUGAUAUUAUAAAUAUUUUUUUUAUUUAUAGUUAGUCAAACUCGAGACACUUUAUCUUGGUACUAUGCCAAAAUUGCAUUAUUUUGUGGAUAGAGAGACCGAGGGAGUAGCUAAUAAGUUAUUUGGAUCUACCUACUAAUAAGUUACUAAUAGGCACGAAGUAGUUGGUAUCUAUUGGCACCUUUUCUCAGAAUCACGCAAAACUUUUAUGCGUCUUUGUAUCAAGGAAGAGAAAAAAUUUAAUACAACACGCCUUAGUGGUGCCCCCAGUGAUCAGAAAAGUUGUAUGUGGAUGCUCAUAUCCUCCCUAGUGUACUAAAAAUGUAUCUCACCUAUUAGUAGUUCUAAAACUAUACUUAUAGAAUUAAUAUUUAGCAACUCUCUAAUUAAUAGUUAGUAGAUACAUUACUAGGACUUUUGAAUGCAUUAGUAUUAAUUUUAGCCACUGAUUACUAGCACCAAUAGAUCAAAUGAACCCUAAGAUACUACCCCUUUCUAAAAUAAGUGUCAUUCUCGCUUUUCGGGGAGUAAAAUGUUUUUAACUUUGAUUAAAUAUAUAUACAAAUAUUAAUAUUUAUAUUACAUGAUUAGUAUCAUUAGAUAUAUAGAUUAUUGAAUCUAUUUUUAAUAAAGUUUUUAUUUAGAGAUACAAUUAUUGCUAAUAUUUUUUCUACAAACCUAAUUUUAAAAGGAUUGACGUACAUGGAUACCUAUAGCGACAUUUGUUUUGGGACGUUAUGGAUAAUGACUCGCGGUUCCAAAUGUCAAUGGCGUGGUACAAAAUGUCAAAAAACGAUGCCCGACCAAAUUUCGAUAGAUUGAACCUGAACACGGCACUUCUUUGAAGCAUCAAUAAAGGCUAGUCGUAGCCUGAAACAAAAUUCCUUAAACAAGGAGCCCUUUGGUGCAAAAGUGGCGGUACCAGAGGAAGUAUAUAAAUUUUCGUAUCCUUUUGCCUGCCAUUUCUGCCGCGCCCGCUGCCUGCCUGCCGCUGCCGCCCCCUGCUUCCACUUCUUUCCCCUCCUCGUCAAGCUCCCCUGAAUCGCGGCAGCAGCACCGGAGCAGCCAGGCGAAGGAUUUUCCCCGCUCCGAAUCUACCCGGCUCCGCCCGAUGGGCUCGCUGAUGUCCUGCCUCUCCGACCCCUGCCCGUCGGGGAACAGGUCCCCGCCGCUGCAGGCGAAGCGGCGCUCCUCCACCUCUUCCCGCGGCCGUGGCGGGAGAGACUCCGCCAAGGCCUCCGUGUCCUUUGACGAGGAGGCGCUGGCCGCGGCGGCAGCGCUCGUGCUGGGGCAGAGGGGCGCCGCCGGUGGCCUGGGGGCAUUCGAGCGGUCCGCGUCGGUGCGAUACGCUGCCAAGCGCCAGAGCCAGGGCCCGCCACUGCCCCGGAGCAGCAGCACGCGUCCGAGGUCGCUCGCUGACCCCGAGCUCCAACCGCAGCAGCUCCUCGCCAAGGUGAGAACCCUGCCAUACUACUCCUUCCUCCAUAGCUUGCCUGCCCCUCUCGGCCUUUACUCCCCAUUACUUGGUUUGGUUGGUCAUUGGUGUGCGUGCCGCCGCGUUGAAUUCUUUGUGCAGUCUCGUCUGACUUUAUGCCUUAUUUUCUGCGAGUUUCCACUGCGAUUGGCUGUCCUUGCGUCGAAUGUAAGGAAAGCAGGGGCUAUGGGAUCCCCCUACUCGGUUCUCUCGUUGUCGCGGUUCAAUUUUCUUACGUUUCUUUAGAUGAAAUUUAGUGUUUGCUCGAUUCAGUUGCAGAAAGGCACGAUCUUUGGUGAUUCAGAUUCUUCUUGUUUUUCUGAUUUAUUGUAUUGCAUCAUGGCAUGCGUCAAUGCCUGGCCAGUUUGCAGUUUAAUUCGAUGCUCCCUCGUGGACGAAUACACCCCUGAUUUGUUUCUAUGAAGGAAAGUAUGAAUUUGGCUCUGGUAAGAACUAGGCAGGCGAUUACAUUUCGCACUUCGUGACUUUGGGACCGGGCAAUCUGGUUUACAUAAGCCAUAGGCGAGAGACCGUUCAAUUCCACCUGCAAAUCCGAACCGGUGCAAUGCACGUGCUUGCUUCCAUCUGUAGUUAUCAACAUAUAGACUAAGACCUGACUUUAACAUCUGUAGUUGAUGAAUACUCUUGAGAGGAGUGUGAACAAGUAGUUAUCUCACAACGACCAAGCACUGAUUUGGUCAAAAUUUAGAGGAACUGGGAAACUUCCGUUGUUGACUGAUAGUAGUUGGUCGUACAUUGGUUUUGUUCAGAAGCUCUUAUGCAUAGGGGCUGUAGAAACUGAUCGAUUGUUGUUUCUAGCUCUGGUGGGAUCAUAUUGGCUUGUGUGUUCAUUGCUCUGGAGAAAGGACAAAGGAGAGCCUAGGAGGUCCCAACUUGUGCUGGUGGGGGAUCUGGAUAUUGUUUACUUCAAAUUGUUUCAGUAUCGACACAAGAUAUGUUGUUCCCAGGUUUGCCCUGGCUAUGAAUGGGAUGGGCAGCCAGCGUGGCUACUAAUUUGUCUUGAGUAUAUUAUAUACUGGCAUUUCUAAUUACUAUAACAGUGGUGUUGACUAGUAAGAGGAUAACGGCCAUGAAGGAAACCGAGGAUGAUUGGGAUUGGGAGGUUUGUGUUUGACAUUUUCAAAGUCAUCUGUCAGCUACCGAAUUCGAUGCUGGUAUGCUAAAUUUGUUGGAAACUGUGAAAAGUUGAACAGAAUCAGCAUGGUAUUUGACAUUUCGAGGUGUUUCUUUCUUUUCGUGCUUAUCAGCAAACAGUCAUCUCCACAGUCCACAUUUGUGACUCAGUAUAUUGUGUGCAUAUUUAUCAGGACCUCAGAUACUUUGUCGUUGUCUAGUUUCCUACCCAUUUGAUUUUAGUGUUUGAUAAUUUGUGUUCCUAGAUUUUAUCUUACUGCAAUUUUUGACUUAUGGUUCAUUCUCAAACAGGAUUUGAAUACUAAGGAUUUGGAAACCAACGUCAUUGUUCUUGUUCAUGGAGGUGGAUUUGGCGCUUGGUGUUGGUACAAGACUAUAUCACUUCUUGAAGAUAGUGGGUUCAAAGUUAACGCCAUCGACUUAACAGGCUCUGGGAUUCAUUCUUACGACACAAACAAGAUUAGCAGUCUUUCAGAGUACGCUGAACCACUUACGUCUUACCUUAAAGGCUUAGGUGGUGCUGAAAAGGUUACUCUCUUUCCAUAUAUCAAGUUACGUUCCAUUUGGGAUAUUGUAGUAUCCAUUGACUAUUGUGGCACUGUGCAUGAUAUUUGGUAAUUUACAUGCUUUCAUGCUUCGACUGUAGUCCUUAACAAUCUUAUAAUAAAAACUGGGAUGACAGCGACUAACCUAUCAUUAGAUGAGAGUUCUAUAAUGGCAAAGUAAUACUUGUUCCUGCAAAAAAUUGUAUUCUACAUUUCUGCAUAAGCCAUGGUAAGUUGCAGGCACAUGGAUUUCAGUACAGCGCCAUACUUUAGGAUCUUGUAGGCCGCCAAUGCUAUCUUCUUCCAUCUCACACAUUGUAGGUAAAAAUAGCUAGUGCAUCAGCAUGAAAAAUUUGAGUGAAUUGUUAAUCUAAAUGUCAAUGGACUUGGGUUGGACUUUAAUCUUUUGAGAUGGUAAGAUUUUAGUAGUGUUACAUUUAAUCACUCAAUUUACAAAUACUGAAGUAGGAAAAACCAUAGGCAUAAGUACAAUAUGCCUGACAUUCUGGGGAAUCAAUUUUGUAAGUGCUAAAUUCUGUAGACUUUUUCUUUCUGUAAAGAUCACAAUCAUAACAUGAAUCAUCAUAACUAAUUCUCAAAUCCCAGACUGAAGUGGUCCCAGAUUAUGGUGCAGAACCUAAGCACCACCUAACUUUAGUUAUGAUUUGAUGCUUGGGGUGACAUUAUUAUUAUGUAUGCACCAGUGACUUAGGUAGUUGCUUGCCACUCAAGUCGAUCUGUAUCUCUUAAAAUGAUCCUGGAAAUAUUUUGUGUACGAUAAAAUGCAUCAUCUCGAUAUUUUCCAAGAUUUUAUAGAUAAGUCUUUAGCAAUGCCAAUAUUGAUAUUUCAAAGCAUCAUAUGAAGUUUUCAAGCGACUUUUGUACUGGCAUGUUCAGACUUAUGUGAAGAUCCCUGCUUUGUUUGAUUUUUUUUUUGAGCAUAUUCUUAUCUGACCAGAAAUAUAACAAUCGAAUACCUCCAACAUUAUGCAGGUAAUUUUGGUCGCUCAUGAUCUUGGUGGUGUCUGUGUAUCCUAUGCAAUGGAGAUGUUCCCAUCCAAAGUUGCCAAGGCUGUUUUCCUUUGUGCAGCAAUGCUGACAAAUGGAAACAGUGCCCUUGACAUGUUCCAACAGCAGGUUGGUCUCCUGGCCCAGCGUUAAUUCUGUUGAACAACUGGCAUUAUAACGAAUCAAAAAGACAAGGACAUUAAACGUUGCCUUGUCUGGCAUCAAAGUAGCAUUGUCUUCCUAUGAUUAUGUCCUGAUGCCGUCCUUCCGCUCCAGAUGGACACAAACGGUACUCUCCAAAAGGCGCAAGAAUUCGUCUACUCCAACGGCAAGGACCGUCCUCCAACUGCCAUCAACAUCGACAGGGCCUUGCUUAGAGACCUGUUGUUCAACCAGAGCCCUUCCAAGGUACUAGGAUUUUGGAGUACUUUGUUACUGUCACCGAGACAAUCACCUCCAUUCACAUCACUGAAUCCUACUUCUGAAUUCUGAAGUUGUGAUAUGACACCCCCUACCUUGUGACUGUGCAGGACGUGUCGCUGGCCUCGGUGUCCAUGAGGCCCAUCCCCUUCGCCCCUGUGCUGGAGAAGCUUGUGCUCACCGCUGAGAACUAUGGCUCGGUGCGGCGGUUCUACGUGGAGACCACGGAGGACAAUGCAAUUCCUCUGCCUCUCCAGCAGAGCAUGUGUGGUGCCAACCCACCGGAGAAGGUGCUGCGGCUGAAGGGGGCGGACCACGCACCCUUCUUCUCCAAGCCGCAGGCGCUGCACAAGACCCUGGUCGAGAUCGCCACCAUGCCGCCGCCGGUCCAGGCUUCGUGAGAUGGUGUUUGUUUAGCUUCAGGUUUCGCCGGCCGGCGAGCUUGCAUGGCUGUUGUACAUGCUGAGGAUGGUAUGGUUUGUGGCGGUGUGGCAGCAAGUAGGGGUUCUAGAAUUUCAGCGUCGUCUCAACGAAAGGCAUCCUUCCAUAAUAUACUCACAGGCAUCAGUUUUUUAUAUAUUAGAAAAAAAACAAAUCUUAUUCUGGCCUGGAGAAUCAAUCAGUUCAUUAUUAUAGUUCAGCCUCGUGCUAGAUAUAAAGCAAAUAAAAUUGAAGAGUAGUAAACAAAGCAUUAUAAAACCUAUUACAAGAGAACUGUCCAACGGCAAUCUUCAUUACCAUAAUCUUCAACAUUGACAUUGCCCAUACAUCUGGCGUCGCUAACUCACUAUCGUGAUGAGCUCGCUGCAGUUACCUGCGUCUGCUCUGCACGCAAUGGAUAGGAAAAGGAGAGUUUUCCUCUGGUCGGGGGACAAGUCAGUGAUUUCUUCUCCGACCGGCUGUCUAGUCGCUUGGACGAAGGUCUGCAGUCCCCGUGAGUUCGGUGGCUUGGGCGUCAGAGAUCUGGAAAUUCAAAACAUCUGCUUGCUUAUUAAAUUGCUGCAUCGACUACACUGUCCACAAUAGUCUGCUUGGGCAGAAUGGGUGCAGAGACGGGCUUCAACCAUAACCUUAAACGGUGACCUCCAUGGCGAUCACUGGCGGACCCUGAGGGCCAUCAUCCCACUAUAUCAGGCCAUUACUUCUGUCGUGCUUGGCGACGGCAAGUGCACCUCGUUCUGGAGUGAUGUCUGGUUUCAGGAUGAACCACUGGCAGACAGAUUUCCAGCACUCAUGUCUCACUGCACCCUAAAGCAGGCUUCGGUGUGGGAAAUCAAAACAACCGGUAUACUGCCGACCUUAGUGCCUCGUCUGUCAACCCCAGCAGAACACGAGCUACAACUAGUGCUCCAAAUCAUCGAUCAAAUAAAGCUCACUGCGGUACGCGACAAGAGAAGCUCACCUUUCUUCAGGCCAGACAACAGUCUCGACAGUGGUGCGCUAUACAAGAUGAUCAAGGCAAGGGGACAGGAAGACAAUCCAAGGGCAAACUUCAUUUGGAAGAGCCUGGCUCCUCCAAGGGUGCAACUGUUUUUAUGGCUUUUAAUGCAAAGGAGGAUUCAGUGCCGCUUGGUGCUCUUGAGGAAAGACAUCGUUGAUUCCGGAAUUUGUGAAAUCUGCAACGCUGCCGAUGAGUCACCGGAACAUGUCAUCCAUGGCUGCUGCCUUGGACGCGGUGUUUGGACAAGCUUGAAUCUUCUGUCCAUAAUCUCAGUGGACAUGAAUGACCUCCAUUCAGUUCAAGCUCAUUCCUCUACCCAAUCCCAGAGCUGGCGUCCUUUGUUGCUUUGGUAUGCUGGCAGAUUUGAAAGGCGAGGAAUGCAAGGAUAUUCAGGAAUGAAACGCAAACGGUGUUUCAUGUGCUGCAGGAGUGCCUAUCUGCUGCCACUAUGUGGAACACAGAUUCCCAACAAGGAAAAAAUCAAUCAUAGAUCAAUGGUGCUCCAUUCUGGUAAUGGCUAGAGAAGGGCUAGAAUAGAGGUUGGUAGGCAAGCUCUCAAACAACAGCAACAUGUUUGCUGCUUUGUAACCCUGUCGCACUCUUUAUCCCCCCACUCUGUAACCUUUGUAACCUAAUAAAUUUUUUCAGGUGGGGAUCGACUCCCCCCCCCCCUGACCCAAAAAAAACUAUCGUGACCAAAGUUUGAACGGUGGAGUUUCAGGAGACAUUUCUAUGACAUCUUGGCCCUAGUCUAUCUGACAUUCUAUCUAAAAUACGAACGGCGUAACUUUUUUUUUUAAAAAAAAAAAUGAUGAAGCAGGAGGGCCGGCUCCAAUGGUAGGAUGGAACAAUCCAAUGUUGGGCUGCGCUUUCGUUGCAAUUUUCCCGUGUUGGGCUAAGUCCUUAAUUUGGUUGGAGUCUGGGCCGCCGAGAGCUGAGACGGACCAGCGUCUGACAGCCGUGCUGGUUCCGAUUCGAAUCCAAUAUACCGCGGCUGCACCUUGGCGUCGAGUUGCCGACUUGCUUUCAUCGGAAUCGAUUUUGCUUUCGCCGAUUACGACUUCGAUUCUGCACUGUAAAUGCAGCUCCAUCUAUAAAAUCAAGGCCCCAAGCCAGCCAGCCAGCCAGCCCCCGCAACACAUCCCAGAUCAGACAGAGCUCCUUCCUUCGUUGGCGGACUUGGUAGCCGGCCGCAAUGGCGAGAUAUAUGUCGUCGUGCUCGUGCUCGUCCUCAUCGUCUAAGCGGCAGAAGUUGAACAACCAUGAUCGUUACGCGAUUAUUAGGAGUAGCAAUCCGCGGCGGAAGCAGCACCUGUACCUGGCGCUGGAUGACUGGAAUGGCGGGUACAGUAUCCACAAGAUUGACGCCGACGAAAUCAUGGAUGACGACGACGAUGAAGCCGCCACCGCCGCCGCUUCAGCAACUGACCGGGAGCAGCUGCACAAGCUCCCGGAGCCUGCUGCCGUCCGGUUAGCGUCGCCAGUUGUGGGUUGCCGCAUGGCCUUCGCCGCCAUGGGCACCAACAUCUUCGUGGCCACCAACCCGCGCUGCAGGUACGACGACGCCGCCCCCAAACUGUUGGUCUACGACGCGGCGACAGGCGCUCUCUCAGGCGGCCCGCACCUUCCGGACCAGGAACGGCUCUACGACUUUGGUGCCGCAAUGGCUGUCGGUGAAAGGCUGUACACCUUGACGUCGGUUUGUUUGGAGCUCAACGAGUGCCCCUCCUUCCGGGCCUUGUCGUGGGAGCCAACCACCAGGCCCGGCCGCGGCCUCGGUGUAUGGGAUCCGCGCAUGGAGUGGUCCUGGAGCUGUGUGCCGCCGCCGCGGUUCCAUGGGUUCGACAUCGCCGCCUACGCGCUGCACCCGGACGGACGCACCAUUUUCAUAUCGACGGCGCACCACAGUACCCACUCCUUCGACACUAGCAGCGGCGUGUGGACGGAGCUCGGGGACUGGGUGCUGCCCUUUCGAGGCCAAGCCUACUUCGACGCCGAGUUGGACGCAUGGGUUGGACUUCACCACAAAGAGGGUGGAUACGUCUGCUAGCUGCUGCCCAGUCGCCUCUCGCAGUCGCAGCGCCACCGAGCCGCCCGAGUGCAGCAAGCUCAACGAGAAGCUCUUCGGCAAGGAGGACUACCCAAAGGAGCAGCGCUUGAAUACCACCCUUACCUACAUGGGUGACAGCAGGUUUUGCCUCAUCGAGAACGUCAUGCCUCGUGAUAAUGAUCUCAACGCUGUGCUCCACGUUACGUUGUUUGGCCUCAAGUUUGACCAGAAGGGAGAUCGAGCUGCAAACUAAGAUUCGCCGCAAGUCAAGAUCAUAUGCAGUGUCCAAGAAUACAUUCCUAUUCUCUCACGCAGCAUUCUGGCUGUAAUGUACUCCGUAGAACCUAAUAAUUACAUUCUGGGCGGCCGGAUGCUUGCAGCAUACUGCUAACCUCUUGUAUGCAUAUUAUACUAAUUAAAUCUACCUAGAGAUUCCCAUUAAUCUGAUCUUAGUGCACAAGAUGCUUAAUUACUUCAUUAUCUAUUAUUAGGAUCAUGUCCAUGUAUUGCAACAGACAACGGAAUACCGUCACGACAAGUUUGAACAUGUGUUAUAUACUAUAAAAAAAUAUUUGAAUGUGACGCAACAUUUUUUUAGCCAUUUAUCACUCUUCACGAGGCACAAACAAUUAGAAUGUAAUUCAAGUUCUGAUUUAAAAUCAAAAUAAUCUAGUUCAAACCAUAACAACUAGGUUCGCUACAACUAUCUAUUCUACUGUGCUCUUGUUGUGAACGUGUACAAAGACAAGGCUUCACCUUUCUUUUCAUAAGUUUCUAACGAUAUAAUUAAGUUAUAAGGGUUGCAUGAUGCACGGUUAGAUCAAGACCCAAAUAGAUCUACUAACAGAAAAACACAAAAGCAUAACAACAUACGAAACAAAUACACAAACGAGAAUAACACCGAAACACGAUGUUUUUUUAACAAGAUUCAAUGAUGUGUCUACAUCAUCAGAGUAUGACUACAAGAGCUUCUCCCUAUAAAAUGCAGCCACAUCAGCCUACCUAAACCAACCACCAAGUCAUCUCAUGAUUACGAUAGGAGUUGGCUCAUAUUUAUGCUCUCCUUGGAUACAAAGCUCGACUCUAAUCCUAUCUUAGCUGCUAAUAUAACUCAAGUCAUAGCGUAACCAAACUAUACAAAUAUUCAACACAUAUCUAAUAAACUCCACCUUAGUGAAUAUGCAUGCCACCUUGAAGUCGUCCAUGCUAAAUAUUAGGGUAGUAUUUAUGCUCAUUAACAUGUUCAUUUUUAAUUAUUAAUUAUCAUAGCAAAAUCUGUGCUAGUGCAUAUUUAUUAGUGUAUAAUUAGUUGCUAAUAUUUUAGAACAAAGAUAUAGUUAGUACUUAGUAUGCUAUUUGUAUCCAAUUCACCCUCAUCCAAACAAAACAAAAAAUGGCAUGUCGCAUCCACCCAUACAAACAAGUAGCAUGAAUCAUUUUAUCCCUCAGACCAAACAUUAUACAUGACACCCUUAAUCUAUGGAGUUGUCGUUGUGCUCCUUUAUUGCAUAUACCCAUACAUACACAUACUCACCUAUAUGAACGUAUACACACACAUCUCACACUUAUGUAUACCUCCGAAAGACGAAGAUGAACAUAUCACAAGGAUUUAAAACCCAGUUGAACAAGUUCUACCAUAAAAAACUCGAUCAGUACUACAAGUUCUACUAGGUACUUUCACUGAGCAUCUACUCACUACACUAUAAAGGUAGGAAGGACCCCUCUUCUUUUAUAAUAAAUACCUCCAUCUCUAAAUAAGUUAAUUUCUCAAAGUAACCUAAUCUUGUAAAUUUGGCCGAAUUUAUAGAAGCUAACAUUGGUAUCAUUAGAGACACCUAAAUAUAUUUUAUAGUGUACUUAUUUUGUGUUAUAAACGUGAAUGACUUUCUUAUAAAUGCUUAUAUUUUGUGUCAUACAUUGCUGUUAUUUUUUCUACAAAAGUUUGACUUAGAAUGUAACUCUGAAAUUUAUUUAUUUAGGGGUGAAUGGAGUUUAAUAAAUAAAUAAAUAGAAUUGGCGCGUCCAAAAUAACACCGUGUUUUUGUACGACGUGCUCGGCGGCUACGUGAUAUAAAGCCUGAUAGAGUGAUAGGGGCCAGGCCUGGUAUAUAUGCGGCUAUACGGCUUUGCAUUGGAUCCGCUUGUGUUGUCUGCGUACACUGUAAACUUGCUGGGCCGGCGUGUUCAAGCCUAGUAUAGGACAUGGGCCGAUGCCCGGUAGCUAUGAGAUACUUUGGCGUGACGCCUCAGUGAAGAAACUGACGAUAGGAUUAGGAAUUAGAUCGUCUGGGGCUGGGUGAGUCACAGAUGCUAAUCUGAUGGCUCUAGAAUUGGAACGGCUUGAUGAGUUCAUCACGGAACACAGAUGCAUACACUGAUGAUAGAUGUCUCUGAAGAAGUUAACGAUAUGUUAUGACUUGGAACCAGUGAAUGAGCUAGUGACUAGUCACACCGCAUAAUAAAAAAACUACGUAGUGUGCACUCUACCUACAGAGCGUUACUACCUCAUCAUCCGAUGAGACGACACGACACGACACGACACGACACGAGACGCCUUCAAUCGUGCGUUUCGCCACGCCCCCGGCUUUAUAUAUGUACGUACAUGGUACACGUCUCUUGCUUCCCCGGAAAGCAUCGAUACACGUCUCUUUAAUACCAGGUAGAAAUGAAAAUAGAGAUUGAGAUAAAGAUUUAUUCUAUACCAUCUGAUCGUCAUUGUUAGCUAGGUAGCAUGGUUAGCGAGUAUUAGGUUAUGAUCUCCUUUCUGCUAGAAGGGUAGAACCACAUUAACCUUCUAUUGUGCCAUAUUUGUGGCACGGCGUUAUAACUUUUACAUUUCUUGAUCUUAAAAUAAAGAUGCACAAAUCUUUUGUGAGAAAAAACUAUUGCAUUCCAUCUAUAUAUUUUGUUAAAAUAGACGAUUUUAUUGCCCACACAUAAUGCUAUAAUCAGGAGGAAAAAUCAAGGCAUUUAUAUCAAAAGAUAACAGGCGAAUUUAAAUGCGUUAUUAUUGUUCAAGCAAAGGAGGCCCUCGAUCACGCCUUGAUAUUUGAUAAUAUAAUGCAGUCAUUAGUACUGCCAAAUACUCCUGUAUAAUAUGCGAUUGGAAUUUACUAACGGAAAUCAGUAAAUUAUUUGCCGCGACAGUUGCCAAAUCGAAGCCAUUUCCACCACCGCACUCUCCCUUAUUUAAAGGCUCCCUCCCUCUGUACAUUCCACACCAGCCACUCCAUCAUCACCCUUCACUCAUCAGCCAUGGUGCUCACCAUGGCCACCGGCCAAGAGGACUCCCUCCUCCUGCUCCUCCUCCCCACCACCUCCCCACUCCCGCCCCUCAUGGCCGUGUUCAUCCUAGCCGCCGUCCUCCUGUGGCUCUCCCCCGGUGGUCCUGCGUGGGCGCUCUCCCGCUGCCGCCGCCCGCCGUCCGGCCCAACGGGCGUGGUCACCGCGCUCUCAAGCCCCGUGGCGCACCGCACCCUGGCGGCGCUGUCCCACGCCGUAGACGGCGGCAAAGCACUGAUGGCCUUCUCGGUCGGGCUCACCCGCCUCGUCGUGUCGAGCCAGCCCGACACGGCGCGAGAGAUCCUCGUCAACCCCGCGUUCAGCGACCGCCCCAUCAAGGACGCGGCUCGCCACCUGCUCUUCCACCGCGCCAUGGGCUUCGCGCCCUCCGGAGACGCGCACUGGCGCGGGCUCCGCCGCCUCGCCGCCAACCACCUGUUCGGCCCGCGCCGCGUGGCGGCGGCCGCGCACCACCGCGUCUCCAUCGGCGAGGCCAUGGUCGCCGACGUCGCCGCUGCCAUGGCCCGCCACGGCG